AAACUUUAAAUAAAGUACUAUCAUAUACUCUUUAUGUUCCUAAAUAUAAGAUAUUCUAGGUAAAACACACUUAUUAAAAAAAUUAUUUUUUAUUUAAAAAGUAUUAUUAAAACUAUAAAUUAAAACUAUUUAACCAAUUACAAAAUAAAAUUAUAAAAUUUGAUUAUUUACACAGAUUUUGAUAAAGUUAAAACUACUUAAAAAUACGAAAACAUCUUAAGGCAACAUUAUCAGUGGUCCAUUUUUUGGUCCUUAAAAUCUUUUUUUUUCUGUUUUCUGGUUUUUAAAAAAAAUAAAAAAAUAAAAAAAUAAACUUAUAGCGGGUCGCCACGUAUUGUGGGGUCCGUAAACAGUGCUAAGGGCUCAAUGCAAAAGUUUCUUAAAUUGGAACAUUAUGGCACAGUCAUUGAAAAAAGGUGGUGGGACCCACGCUUAAGGACUCUCCCACCAC
RNAcentral lists this long non-coding RNA (451 nucleotides) under Brassica rapa (field mustard). RNAcentral describes it as "long non-coding RNA (BRAP_LNC006055)". Lineage: Eukaryota; Viridiplantae; Streptophyta; Magnoliopsida; Brassicales; Brassicaceae. The record is from RNAcentral.